This 61-nucleotide small nuclear RNA is filed under the name Propithecus coquereli (Coquerel's sifaka). Lineage: Eukaryota; Metazoa; Chordata; Mammalia; Primates; Indriidae. The record is from RNAcentral.
GUGCUCGUUUUGGCAGCACAUAUACUAAAAUUGGAAUAAUACAGAGAAGAUUAGCAUGGCC